CUUGACAUCCAGCGAACUUUCCAGAGAUGGAUUGGUGCCUUCGGGAACGCUGAGACAGGUGCUGCAUGGCUGUCGUCAGCUCGUGUUGUGAAAUGUUGGGUUAACGUCCGCAACGAGCGCAACCCUUAUCCUUUGUUGCCAGCGAUUCGGUCGGGAACUCAAAGGAGACUGCCGGUGAUAAACCGGAGGAAGGUGGGGAUGACGUCAAGUCAUCAUGGCCCUUACGAGUAGGGCUACACACGUGCUACAAUGGCGCAUACAAAGAGAAGCGACCUCGCGAGAGCAAGCGGACCUCAUAAAGUGCGUCGUAGUCCGGAUCGGAGUCUGCAACUCGACUCCGUGAAGUCGGAAUCGCUAGUAAUCGUGGAUCAGAAUGCCACGGUGAAUACGUUCCCGGGCCUUGUACACACCGCCCGUCACACCAUGGGAGUGGGUUGCAAAAGAAGUAGGUAGCUUAACCUUCGGGAGGGCGCUUACCACUUUGUGAUUCAUGACCGGGGUGAAGUCGUAACAAGGUAAGCGUAGCGAG
This 529-nucleotide ribosomal RNA is filed under the name uncultured bacterium. Its description in RNAcentral is "bacterial SSU rRNA". It matches the Rfam family "Bacterial small subunit ribosomal RNA", at positions 980 to 1509 of the family's 1533-position model. The record is from RNAcentral.